CCUUCUUUAACCUGUUUAGAGUAAUUGAUAUCGCUUCUAAAGCGAAGGACUUGAAUUUCAUCCGCAUGAACUUAUAGACAUGGUGUCCGAGCCUCACUAAUAUGUAAAGAAUGGACACCAAAACACCUCCAGACAUGAGCAGUGCCGACUAACUCCAAUGACUUCAGUCAGUUUAGUUUUUGAAAAUGAAUGUGAAACAGAAAACGAGAAGCAUGGAAGAGGAGGAAUUAACUGGAAAUACCAUGUGGCUUAAGAAAACAGUUCUGCUUCUCAGGUAGAUAUUUAUAGGGGCAAGAAGAGAUAUUUCAGUAGAUGCACAUGCUUGUUUUGGUACACCCUGAAACCAUUUUAAGGUAGUGAAAACAGUGUGAUAAAAAGGAAGAGGUUUGGGUUGAAUAGCAAAGUUCAACAGCAAGACUGGGGGUACAUUCAAAUUAUAGUGACAUUAAAUAAGCCAGUCAGAGAACGGAGAGCUGUGAAACAUGGAUUACGGUGAAAGUGCUCUUUGUGGAAGUGGAGAACUGGAGCUGGAUCCAGAUAUUGUGAGCGAGGAGGCGGGGAAACUGUAUUCGGAGCUGCAGUCGGUGGUGGAGACUCAUGGAGCUGGUGUGGUGGAGUCCCUGCUGCCCAUCCUCGUCUGGGUUCUGGAAGGGCUGGCGAGCUGCAGGGCUCAGCUGAGAGAGAGAGAGGAGGAGGCAGAGAGAGAGAAAGCAGAGAGAGAAGAACUGCUGGAGAGGUAUCAGACUGAGAAAACCCUGAGGAGAGAGAGCCAAGAGGUGAGAGAGAACUGUGUGAAGGAAGAAUUGAAGGUCUUUUGUGACCUUUUAACCUU
Molecule: long non-coding RNA, 832 nt
Filed under: Sinocyclocheilus anshuiensis
Lineage: Eukaryota; Metazoa; Chordata; Actinopteri; Cypriniformes; Cyprinidae
Description: lncRNA (ENSSANG00000043518.1)
Source: RNAcentral